UUGGCGUGCAUUGUAGUUGCAUUGCAUAAGACUAUUCGCCCAAUGCGAUGCUGCUGCCAUGCAAGGCCAA
RNAcentral lists this microRNA precursor (70 nucleotides) under Tigriopus californicus. RNAcentral describes it as "microRNA mir-33". The record is from RNAcentral. Lineage: Eukaryota; Metazoa; Arthropoda; Copepoda; Harpacticoida; Harpacticidae.